ACAACCGAUUUCGGUGUAUUGUACUUAAUUUUUGAUUUUGAAGUGAUUAUAUUUUGAUUUGUA
RNAcentral lists this small RNA (63 nucleotides) under Staphylococcus aureus. RNAcentral describes it as "HMPRFS0000_1443". Lineage: Bacteria; Bacillati; Bacillota; Bacilli; Caryophanales; Staphylococcaceae. The record is from RNAcentral.